Molecule: long non-coding RNA, 1044 nt
Organism: Xenopus laevis (African clawed frog)
Lineage: Eukaryota; Metazoa; Chordata; Amphibia; Anura; Pipidae
Exons: 2
Source: RefSeq, a predicted model, not a curated record
CGUGACCGUAUCGUCAUCGCAGCAAGGGGAAGAAAAAAUAGUCUUGUGCGCAUGCGCAGGGCACGGAUUGAAGCUAUUGCGCAUGCGUGUGCCCUACUUGAACAGAUUUCUUACAGAAAGAAAGGUAAUCUUUUUCAUACUUGUCUUUACUUUUUGAAAAAUCGAUUGGAGCAAAAAUGUUGUUGGAAAAAGUAACAGGGGAAUGCUUGCUGCAAACUAUAUGUACCAUAUAUUGGCAACGCUUACAGCUAAAGUUUGUUUUUGCCUUUCCUUCUCCUUUAAGCAGUACGGGGGAACAGUAUAUUAUAUGUUAUUUACUUUAAAAUACUUGUUUUUCUGGUGUUCCUUCCCAGAGAAAGUUACAAAAAAGUAAACUUGUGUUCAGAUGGAAAAUGUAACAGUAACCAGCUGGCACAUAUAUAGGUAUACACAGAAGAACUUCCAAUUAUAUACCCAUUUUGAAGACAAACAGUCAACAGGGUACAAAUUUAAAUGUACAAACUAGGCUUUAUUUUUAUUUAUUUAUUUUUUAAAAUGGGUCCCAUCUUGGGGUUAAAAAACAAAAGUAAAUUGAGCUGUUAGUAACUGAAUAUGCAAGGGAUAGUUGUUACUCUCUAGCCUGUGUAUAGGGGCAAGAUACUUUUCCACAAAGGAAUGUACAAAAUAAGUCUGCCUUGCGCUUAACUCUGAGCCAUAACAGCUGGACCUUGUCUAACUGUGGGAAUUUGCCUCUAAACUUACAGGCAAUGACAAACUACUCACAUCAACUUAAGACUUCUGUCUGCAGUAACUAUUCUACAAACCGCAACGAUUGAGUAAAGACUAGUGCAAAAAGAAAGGAAAUGAUAACUGUUUGUCCAAGGGCUGGAUGGGGGGAAAACAGUGAGCAGGACGGGGUGAGGCCUCUUCAUCCGGUUAUUGGAGCCAACAAAGAGAUGCCUUCACAUUGCAUAGUCUAACCUCUAACACCUCUUGCUGAAAUAGAAGAUGCCGGCAACUAAGUUAUCACAAACUAUUUCAGAAUAAAGCUUGUUGUCUCUUUAA